UACGGAGGGUGCGAGCGUUGUCCGGAAUCACUGGGCGUAAAGGGCGCGUAGGCGGCGCGGGAAGUCAACGGUGAAAGCUUGGGGCUCAACUCCGAGUCGGCCGUCGAUACUCCCGUGCUCGAGCACUGUAGAGGCAGAUGGAAUUCCGGGUGUAGCGGUGGAAUGCGUAGAGAUCCGGAAGAACACCGGUGGCGAAGGCGGUCUGCUGGGCAGUUGCUGACGCUGAGGAACGAAAGCCAGGGGAGCGAAUGGG
RNAcentral lists this ribosomal RNA (253 nucleotides) under uncultured bacterium. RNAcentral's name for it is "partial 16S ribosomal RNA". It matches the Rfam family "Bacterial small subunit ribosomal RNA", at positions 524 to 776 of the family's 1533-position model. The record is from RNAcentral.